UACAGGGGGGGCAAGCGUUGUUCGGAAUUACUGGGCGUAAAGGGCCAGUAGGCGGCCGACUAAGUCCGACGUGAAAUCCCCAGGCUUAACCGGGGAACUGCGUCCGAUACUGGAUGGCUUGAGUUCGGGAGAGGGAUGCGGAAUUCCAGGUGUAGCGGUGAAAUGCGUAGAUAUCUGGAGGAACACCGGUGGCGAAGGCGGCAUCCUGGACCGACACUGACGCUGAGGAGCGAAAGCCAGGGGAGCAAACGGG
This 253-nucleotide ribosomal RNA is filed under the name uncultured bacterium. Its description in RNAcentral is "partial 16S ribosomal RNA". It matches the Rfam family "Bacterial small subunit ribosomal RNA", at positions 524 to 776 of the family's 1533-position model. The record is from RNAcentral.